Marmota marmota marmota (Alpine marmot) is the source of this 129-nucleotide small nucleolar RNA. The record is from Ensembl. NCBI's taxonomy places the organism in Eukaryota, Metazoa, Chordata, Mammalia, Rodentia, Sciuridae.
GCAUGGAUUUUAAUUUAUGGUAGGCCUGUCCUUCUGGGCCUCUCAUAGUGUCCCAUGCCAGAGUAAACCAUGGCCCAAACCAUUGCCUGGCCUCUGUGUCCAUAGGAAAAUAAAAUAAAUUAAAUGGUG